This 253-nucleotide ribosomal RNA is filed under the name uncultured bacterium. Its description in RNAcentral is "partial 16S ribosomal RNA". It matches the Rfam family "Bacterial small subunit ribosomal RNA", at positions 524 to 776 of the family's 1533-position model. The record is from RNAcentral.
UACGAAGGGGGCUAGCGUUGCUCGGAAUCACUGGGCGUAAAGGGUGCGUAGGCGGGUUUUUAAGUCAGGGGUGAAAUCCUGGAGCUCAACUCCAGAACUGCCUUUGAUACUGAAGAUCUUGAGUCCGGGAGAGGUGAGUGGAACUGCGAGUGUAGAGGUGAAAUUCGUAGAUAUUCGCAAGAACACCAGUGGCGAAGGCGGCUCACUGGCCCGGAACUGACGCUGAGACGCGAAAGCGUGGGGAGCAAACAGG